UUUGAUCAUGGCUCAAAACGAACGCUGGCGGCGUGCUUACCACAUGCAAGUCAAACGCAAAAGGGGAUUUCGGUUCCCAAGUAAAGUGGCGCACGGGUGAGUAACGCGUAAUUAAUCUACCCCUGUAUCUGGAAUAACCUACCGAAAGGUGAGCUAAUACCGGAUACUUUUGAAAUGAUGCGAGUCAUUUCACAAAAAGGAGGCCUCUGCAUAUGCUUCCGUACAGGGAUGAGCUUGCGUACCAUUAGCUAGUUGGCAGGGUAAUGGCCUACCAAGGCAACAAUGGUUAGCGGGUCUAAAAGGAUGAUCCGCCACACUGGAACUGGAACACGGACCAAACUCCUACGGGAGGCAGCAGUGAGGAAUAUUGCGCAUUGGGGGAAACCCUGACCCACCGCCCCCGCGUGAAUGAUGAAGGCCUUUGGGUCGAAAAAUCCUGUCAAAUGGA
RNAcentral lists this ribosomal RNA (448 nucleotides) under uncultured bacterium. RNAcentral's name for it is "bacterial SSU rRNA". It matches the Rfam family "Bacterial small subunit ribosomal RNA", at positions 12 to 444 of the family's 1533-position model. The record is from RNAcentral.